RNAcentral lists this unclassified non-coding RNA (5321 nucleotides) under Penaeus japonicus. Its description in RNAcentral is "exportin-6-like, transcript variant X2". The record is from RNAcentral. Lineage: Eukaryota; Metazoa; Arthropoda; Malacostraca; Decapoda; Penaeidae.
ACAGUAACCCGAGAAUCAAUUGUCGUCGUCUGUCAAAACAGGGACGCGCAAGAAACCUAAAGGAACAAAAUCAAACUCGGGGCGACUUGUUUCAGCUUCAAAAUGUCACUUUUCCGGACUGUUUAGGAGGAGCAGGAGGAGUCAUAACACCUUAUAAAUCUGCAGAAAGUGGCAGCAGAUUUAUCAUGACCACAGAUCAAGAAUCCCUUCAUGCCCUUGAAGGGUUGAUGAACGAAUUCUUCGGUCCAGCCACAACCAAUGUUAGAAAGAGAGACAUCGAGACCAUUUUAUCCAAUUUCGGACAACAGCGCGGGGCCUGGAAGCAAUGUCUGUACUACGUAGCUCACACCCGCAACUCCUAUGUGUCUAUGUACUGCCUCACCACCCUGGAGAACAUCAUCAACAAGCAAUGGGUGGGUCUUAUGGCAGACGAGAGAACCGAGAUCCGCUCCACUCUCUAUCGCUUCGUCUUGGAGAACCAUAAGGUGGCCCCAUACUACAUCCGCAACAAGCUUGUCAAGUUGGUCGUAGAUAUCGCUCGUCUGUCGUGGCCUCAUUUCUACCCUGACUUCUUCACCAAUGUCUUAGCUUUAGCCAGAAGUCCAGAUACAGUCAUUUUGUGUAUCGUGUUCCUCCAAACCAUCAGUGAGGAAUUAGCAUGUCCGAGGGAAGAGCUGUCAUAUUCACGGAGAACAGAGCUGCGGCGGUUGUUAUCCCAGCAAGUCCCAACUAUGCUUACCCUCCUGUCGAGUUUAUUAGAAGGUGUGGUAGACAAGCACAAAAAUGCAGUGACUGCUACCCCUCCUCCCUCCCCAACACACUCCCACAGCCAUUCCCCAAGCCGAUCCGGCCUCUCCUCCUCUCCUAUUCAGACAGGUACUUUGCUGAGCAACAUGUUCCACAACCUGGAGAGUGGAACAAGUUCUCGCACGGGAUGGGUCUUGCCCCCUCUUGACUCAGAAAGUGAAACCAUAGCGUGUCUGGCACUGAACUGUCUAACACACUUAUUCUCGUGGAUUCCCCUCUCCUCGCUCAUAACACCUCACCUGCUCAAUACAAUAUUCCUUUUUGCUUCUUUAGGAGCUGAUCCACAGCACAAUAAGCUCCACAACGGAUCCCUCGAUAACAGUUUCAUGUCUGGCGAUUCCCUUGGUGUUCUAGCCAUGGGUGCCAUCAACGAGAUCAUGAGCAAGAACUGUGUCCCGCAUGAUUUUGAGGAUUUUCUGCUCCAGAUGUUUAGAAACACAUUCCAGCUCUUGCAGAGGCUUGUGCGGGACGAGCCGAACACAACCACCUCACGCCUGCAGUUGUUAGAUUCAAGUUACAUUGACAAAUUCUCAGAGUUUCUGAGGCUCUUUGUGAGUGUUCAUCUUCGAAGAUUUGAAAAUAACUCCCAGUUCCCAGUCCUUGAGUUUCUGUCUCUUCUCUUCCGAUACACAUUCCAUCAGCAUUCUGUCGAGGCCUAUUUCAAUUGCCUGGAUGUGUGGGGCAUUUUCCUAGACCAUCUUUCAUCCAAGAUCAUUGGAGCUGAGGACAGGAAUGCAGUUUCAAGGUAUGAAGAUGCUUUGAUAUCACUUGCUCAAGGGAUUCUGCACAAGAUCCAGCUAAGGCACAACCAGGCCGAACUGGAGGAGCUUGAUCAUGAGAUCUGUGAGGAGAUCUCGGAAGGCUGCGAGUCCUACUAUGGAGAAAUUGGGAGUAGUGACGAGGUUUCUGAGUGGCAUUCCUUCUUCACGAGAAACCUGGAGUUGCUUGCCAAGAUUGCAGACUUGUUGCCAGACCAAAUAUUUACCCUAGUGUAUGAUCCCUGGUGCGAGACCACGAAAAUCUACCUUACCCUCCAGUCGAACAUGGUGGAACAAAAUGGCAGACGGAGACUGAAUAUUUCAGCGGAGCAUGAGUGUCCACGGCUGCAUUGCCUCCUACGUGAUUUAUCUUCACUACUGCAGGCUGUUGGUAGAUUUUCAACCCUUUUUUUAGGAGAAGAACUGCCUAAGAGAUCAGCAACAGCAAUACAAGUCAUAGAAAAGCUUGUAGAAAUGGCCAAUUUCAGCACAGGUCUAAAGUUGUUUGAGGUGGAGACAGCAGUGGAUGUCUUACAUUCAGAUUUUGUGGAAGUACAUGCGCAGGUUCUGUCGACCCUACGAGCCUGGGUGCACUGGCUGUCUCAGUUAUAUGGCCAGCAGUUUGUGCAAGUGUAUCCUGGAGGCACGCAGACUCACCAGCACCAAGAUACCUGCCAUACUAUCAACAAACAGAUGCUAGUCGCAGCUACAAAUGUGUUGAAUGUGGGGGCUCCAGGAUUAAUAGUGAACUGUGGAGUGCAAUUGCUGUUGUCCCUGUCAGUGAUGGUGCGGUCACCUGUGGCUCUGGAGAUGAACCAAGUGCAGUCUCUCUAUGUUCAGGCACCUUCUGUCUCGUCAGAUGUUAAGGUCCGGAGGUUAUUAUUACGUGCUCUAGUGAACUUCCUCUUACUUCCGUGGCCCAGCUUUAUUGUGGACCACAGACUAGAAACUAGAAAACAUCAUCUCACCACAUUCAUCAACUCAUUUACUAGUGAUGUCCGUAAGAUAAAUGUCCAAACUCUCGCAGAUGACAAGACGAUGCAGGAGAGCAUGGCACCAAAGCUGUGUGACACACUGUCCAUCAUAAAGUACCAAGUAGAAGAACUGAACAGCACUGACAAAGCCAGCCGUGAGCUGUACUAUCACUGCAUUCAAGAUAUAAUUCAUCAGGCCAUACUCCUGUUUCCUGUAUAUGUCCAGCAUGCAAGUGUUUGUGAAGAGAUCCUCGCCCUGAUGGUAGUGGUGAUGCAAGUCCUCCGUGUCCAGCUGGGACCUGCCCGAGUCGAAGCAACCAUCCAGACCUUCCUGGAUGUCUUCACCACGCGCCACCACCUCCAGCUGGCCAUCUCGGCUGAUAACCCUGCGGCUGUCAGGGUGUUGGAAAAAUUCCUGAAGCUCCUAGAACUCAUCGUGAGUGAACCCGGUCAGUCGUUCAAGAGGUUCAUCCCUAACACCAUCACCCUGUGCAUGGACCACAUUUAUCCCGUUGUGUCCGAGCGUGCGUCUCCUGAAGUAAAGGGCCCCUUGUUUGAGCUCCUCAGGUGCCUCCUAGAACAUAAUUGGAAGUAUUUCUUUAGACCAUCUGUCCACAUAUCCCUUGGAGCCGGAAACUGGGACUCGAUUGAAAAUGAAGCUCAGUUCAUCCAGAUUAUGCAGGCCUUCGGACAGUCGUUCAUGCAGCCAGAUAUCACCAUCUUCAAGCAGAACCUAGAAGCUUUGGAAGCAUUAAACUCAAAAUAUAAGCUGUAUCAUAAGGGUGUAUUCCGAAAUUCCAUGCUGGGCCAGUUCAUCACUGUCCUGCUGCAGGUGCUGGUGCAUCGGUCUCAGGACCUGCUUCAAGAGGAGAUAACUAUCACAGUGUACAACAUGGCCUCUGUGGAUUUCAACACCUUUUUCUCAGCUUUUGUUGUCCACUUUCUUCAAAAUAUGGAUGGGCUAGAUAAUGACCAAAGAACAACUCUGAAAGAGAACUUCAAAACUGAUACCGAUUUGCCAACAUUUACCCAGAAUGUCCAGCGAUUCAUCAAUGAUCUGCGUUACUACCGCACCUGCAAUGCUAGUCUACCUCCUGGCACAGUCAAGUUAUAGUAUUAACAUAUGCAUGUGUUCAUCCAGGAAUAUUUAUGGGAAACCUUCAUAUUUGUGAACUUCAUUAUACUAACUACGUGUGUUGCAGCAUAAUCUUUGUCAGCUGGUCUGCUUCAUAGGCAAGUACUCUUUAUAAAAAGAUGCAAGUUAGAACUUGGGUUUGAAGUGAAAGCAGAGUAUUUGUGUCUUCAUAUUGCCACUUUUUUUUAUCAGUGACUUUUCACCCAAUUAUGAUUCAGACACAUCUGACUUAUCUCCAGAGAAGGAAGAUUUGUAAUAAUUUUGAGCUUUAGAGAUUUAUGAUUUUUUCUAAACCCAAUGUUAGUAAAGGACUACAAAGUUCCUCUUUUUCAUUUUUUUACUGACACACAGUCAGUUAUAUACAGGAAUAUUCUCUUUAUUUAAAUAAAAAUUAUGCAUUUUGAUCACCUUCAGUGUUGAGAAUGUUCAUUUGACUUCUCCGUUAAUAUUUAGUGUUCUGCAAAAGGUUCAUGUGGUUUCAUUUGCUGCUUGGGGUAAGUAUACCAGGUCUGAGUUCAUGUUUCUUUUAUGUUGUAUUUUAAAGGCUGCUUUCAGUUGCCAUUUAACUUUUUUUAAAAUCUAGACUUCAUCUUUUUCUUCUCUUUUCUUUAAGAAAAUUGGAAGUAACUGAUGUAUCUUAAACACAUAAGGUGUUUGAGAAUUUCAAAGUAAUUUGGUUGUAAAUGAAACUGCAUUUAUUUAAAGAAGUCCACUGUUGUAUGCUUACUAAAUGUCAUAUUUUUCUGUGAAUACAGGAACUUAAUAUAUGAAUCAAAAUGAAUACCUCUUUAUAGCUUCUAGUAAUUUUCAAGUUAGAAAAAAGAAUUACCAAAACUUUUUGACUUCUCAUGCCCUUGCAGUGCAUUAUACAAGAAUUUCCGUCCCUUUGCUUUCCUUUAUUUAAUUCUCAAUUCUGCAUAACACUGUAUAAUUGUAUAUCUAAGCAACUCCUCUCCUGUUACCCCUGUUGGCUCUUUUUCCCUUUAGGUAAAUUCAUCUAAGGAAAGUUUUUAUGAAUUUUACUUAAAUGAAACAAUUAGCAUGACUGCAGCCUAUGUCUGUGAUCGUUGACCCAUGUGAUAAAUAUGUGCUUAAGUUUUGUGGACCAAUGUACAGUCAUAUAUGCCAGCCACCCAAAAUUUGAGUAUGUAUUAGAAUGCACUCAUUUAAUUAGGGAUAAACCUCAGUUCCUCAUUCUGUGACAGAAAUGCUUAGAAAAUAUUUGUUGUCACACUGCCAGUUUGUGUUUUGCUGAUAUAUGCUUGCUGAAUUUUUGUGAAGAUUGAUCAAGGAAGUUUGUGCACCUUUUUAGAUUGAUGGCGAAAUGCUAAUUGCAUUUGUUACUGUGUCAGAUCGUUACAUAUGAUAUUGGAGUUUCUUUUUAUUCUUUUAUUUAAUCAGUUGAGCACAGGUUAGUCUCAGUAUUAUAACUGAUCUUUAACUGAUGUUUGACAAAAGAGUUGAAUGACAUAAAUGUGUGUCUGGAGCACAAUGUAUUCAGUUUGCUGUGACAUGGAGGUACGAAAACAGUGGCACUGUGACACCACCUUCAGUUAAACAACAUCAUUUGUGCAGAUUUUCAUUCAUAAAACAUUGACGUAGAUAUUCCACAUCAUGUUAGUGUGUGUAUGGGCGUGUAUGUCUGUG